This 301-nucleotide ribosomal RNA is filed under the name Ophiopholis aculeata (daisy brittle star). RNAcentral's name for it is "eukaryotic LSU rRNA". It matches the Rfam family "Eukaryotic large subunit ribosomal RNA", at positions 664 to 946 of the family's 3401-position model. The record is from RNAcentral. Lineage: Eukaryota; Metazoa; Echinodermata; Ophiuroidea; Amphilepidida; Ophiactidae.
GACCAAGAAGUCUAACGGACACGCAAGUCGAAGGGUCGUAUACGAAACCCCGAGGCGCAAUGAAAGUGAAGGUCGGUGUAGGCCGCCUUCGGUGGGAUCCCAGGUCUACCCACGGCCAGGGCGCACCACCGCCCCGUCUCACCCCGCAUUGUUCGGAGAGGCGGAGGAAGAGCGUGUACGCUAGGAUAUGCCCGAGCAGGAUGAAGCCAGAGGAAACUCUGGUGGAGGUCCGCAGCGAUUCUGACGUGCAAAUCGAUCGCCCGACUUGGGUAUAGGGGCGAAAGACUAAUCGAACCAUCUA